This 523-nucleotide unclassified non-coding RNA is filed under the name Clonostachys rosea f. catenulata. RNAcentral's name for it is "sequence contains 18S rRNA gene, ITS1, 5.8S rRNA gene, ITS2, 28S rRNA gene". The stretch from base 203 to 356 matches the Rfam family "5.8S ribosomal RNA". Lineage: Eukaryota; Fungi; Ascomycota; Sordariomycetes; Hypocreales; Bionectriaceae. The record is from RNAcentral.
AGUCGUAACAAGGUCUCCGUUGGUGAACCAGCGGAGGGAUCAUUACCGAGUUUACAACUCCCAAACCCAUGUGAACAUACCUACUGUUGCUUCGGCGGGAUUGCCCCGGGCGCCUCGUGUGCCCCGGAUCAGGCGCCCGCCUAGGAACCUUAACUCUUGUUUUAUUUUGGAAUCUUCUGAGUAGUUUUUACAAAUAAAUAAAAACUUUCAACAACGGAUCUCUUGGUUCUGGCAUCGAUGAAGAACGCAGCGAAAUGCGAUAAGUAAUGUGAAUUGCAGAAUUCAGUGAAUCAUCGAAUCUUUGAACGCACAUUGCGCCCGCCAGUAUUCUGGCGGGCAUGCCUGUCUGAGCGUCAUUUCAACCCUCAUGCCCCUAGGGCGUGGUGUUGGGGAUCGGCCAAAGCCCGCGAGGGACGGCCGGCCCCUAAAUCUAGUGGCGGACCCGUCGUGGCCUCCUCUGCGAAGUAGUGAUAUUCCGCAUCGGAGAGCGACGAGCCCCUGCCGUUAAACCCCCAACUUCCAA